This 372-nucleotide ribosomal RNA is filed under the name uncultured organism. RNAcentral's name for it is "bacterial SSU rRNA". It matches the Rfam family "Bacterial small subunit ribosomal RNA", at positions 526 to 896 of the family's 1533-position model. The record is from RNAcentral.
CAGAGGUGGCAAGCGUUGUUCGGAAUUACUGGGCGUAAAGGGCGCGUAGGCGGCCAUCUAAGUCAGACGUGAAAUCCCCCGGCUUAACCUGGGAACUGCGUCUGAUACUGGAAGGCUCGAGUAUGGGAGAGGGAUGUAGAAUUCCAGGUGUAGCGGUGAAAUGCGUAGAUAUCUGGAGGAAUACCGGUGGCGAAGGCGGCAUCCUGGACCAUUACUGACGCUGAGGCGCGAAAGCUAGGGGAGCAAACGGGAUUAGAUACCCCGGUAGUCCUAGCCCUAAACGAUGAAUGCUUGGUGUGGCGGGUAUCGAUCCCUGCCGUGCCGAAGCUAACGCAUUAAGCAUUCCGCCUGGGGAGUACGGUCGCAAGGCUG